Molecule: ribosomal RNA, 492 nt
Filed under: uncultured bacterium
Lineage: Bacteria
Description: partial 16S ribosomal RNA
Rfam family: Bacterial small subunit ribosomal RNA
Source: RNAcentral
AGUGAACGCUGGCGGUAGGCCUAACACAUGCAAGUCGAACGGCAGCACAGUAAGAGCUUGCUCUUACGGGUGGCGAGUGGCGGACGGGUGAGGAAUACAUCGGAAUCUACUUUUUCGUGGGGGAUAACGUAGGGAAACUUACGCUAAUACCGCAUACGACCUACGGGUGAAAGCAGGGGAUCUUCGGACCUUGCGCGAUUGAAUGAGCCGAUGUCGGAUUAGCUAGUUGGCGGGGUAAAGGCCCACCAAGGCGACGAUCCGUAGCUGGUCUGAGAGGAUGAUCAGCCACACUGGAACUGAGACACGGUCCAGACUCCUACGGGAGGCAGCAGUGGGGAAUAUUGGACAAUGGGCGCAAGCCUGAUCCAGCCGUACCGCGUGGGUGAAGAAGGCCUUCGGGUUGUAAAGCCCUUUUGUUGGGAAAGAAAAGCAGCAGGUUAAUACCCCGCCGUUCUGACGGUACCCAAAGAAUAAGCACCGGCUAACUUCGUG